Molecule: long non-coding RNA, 787 nt
Filed under: Rhinopithecus bieti (black snub-nosed monkey)
Lineage: Eukaryota; Metazoa; Chordata; Mammalia; Primates; Cercopithecidae
Description: lncRNA (ENSRBIG00000045800.1)
Source: RNAcentral
AGGAGUGCCGUGGGGAGAGGAUGGGAGUGUUAGGGAGUGUUAGGGAGGGGCAGUCAGUAAGGCUGCUUGGAGGAGGUGCUAUGUUAGAAAAACUCUGGAGAAGGGGAAUGAGAGAGUCUCCAGCCAUUUGGGGAAAAAGUCUUCAGGCAGAGGGAGCAGCAAGUGCAAAGGCCCUGGGCCUGGAUGAUGGUUAGAGUGGGCAAGGGGGAGAAAGAGGCAGGGGUAUCUCGUGCAGGGCCUUACAAACCAUGGGGGGGCUUUGAGCCUUACUCUGAGCAAGAUGGGAGGCAUGCAAUGGGAUUUCUGUGUGUCAGGGGUCCCUAGAGGGCUGUUUGUUGCUGGAAGAUUCUGUGGUUGGAUGGCAUCCUGAUGAACGUGGAGCUCAUCUGUCCUUCAGAUGGGAGGCAGCAGCUGCUAUGACUGCUGUCCUGGACACGGUCUCAGCUCUGUGUGUCACUUCCCCUCUCUGGACCUCAUCGUCCCCAGCUGGAGGCUGAGUGGUGAAGGAGAACUGGCUCAUCACCAGCCCCCGUUGAACCACAAGACUUCUUUCUGGGGACCUCUGGACAGCAUGGGUAUUUAGUAUUCUUACCAUCUUUCCCUGCUGCGCUCACGGCGGACAAUGCUCAUCUGUCAUGACACUCUGAGGAUCCCAGACCCAGCUGCAUAAUCAUUCUCAGUCCAACACUCCAGGAACCAAGGGAUCACAAUCCCCUUCUAAGAGGAAUCCAGCAUGUGUCUGGUCUUGGGCAUUCCCUGGUGGGUGAGUAACCCUGUUCUGUCAUCA